Molecule: small RNA, 569 nt
Filed under: Pongo abelii (Sumatran orangutan)
Lineage: Eukaryota; Metazoa; Chordata; Mammalia; Primates; Hominidae
Description: processed transcript
Source: RNAcentral
GGCCUUGGCGUCUCAGCGCGCUCUUCUCGCGCAUGCGUUCGCCGAACGGUCUUCUUCCGACAGCUUGCUGCCCUAGACCAGAGUUGGUGGCUGGACCUCCUGCGACUUCCGAGUUGCGAUGCUGUACUUCUCUUUGUUCUGGGCGGCUCGGCCUCUGCAGAGAUGUGGGCAGCUGGUCAGGAUGGCCAUUCGGGCUCAGCACAGCAACGCAGCCCAGACUCAGACUGGGGAAGCAAACAGGGGCUGGACAGGCCAGGAGAGCCUGUCGGACAGUGAUCCUGAGAUGUGGGAGUUGCUACAGAGGGAGAAGGACAGGCCCUGGGGUCCUGUCUGAACAACAAGUACUCGGAGGGUUAUCCUGGCAAGAGAUACUAUGGGGGAGCAGAGGUGGUGGAUGAAAUUGAGCUGCUGUGCCAGCGCCGGGCCUUGGAAGCCUUUGACCUGGAUCCUGCACAGUGGGGAGUCAAUGUCCAGCCCUACUCCGGGUCCCCAGCCAACCUGGCCGUCUAUACAGCCCUUCUGCAACCUCACGACCGGAUCAUGGGGCUGGACCUGCCCGAUGGGGGCCA